AGCUCCGGGGUGUGACACGUCAGAUUGCAAAUCUGAAGAUGCGGGGUAAGACCCCGCCGGGGCUU
This 65-nucleotide transfer RNA is filed under the name Lophotus capellei (unicornfish). Its description in RNAcentral is "tRNA-Cys". It matches the Rfam family "tRNA". From Rfam's summary of the family: Transfer RNA (tRNA) molecules are approximately 80 nucleotides in length. The record is from RNAcentral. Lineage: Eukaryota; Metazoa; Chordata; Actinopteri; Lampriformes; Lophotidae.